RNAcentral lists this ribosomal RNA (507 nucleotides) under uncultured bacterium. RNAcentral's name for it is "partial 16S ribosomal RNA". It matches the Rfam family "Bacterial small subunit ribosomal RNA", at positions 28 to 507 of the family's 1533-position model. The record is from RNAcentral.
GACGAACGCUGGCGGCGUGCCUAAUACAUGCAAGUCGAACGCUUCUUUCCUCCCGAGUGCUUGCACUCAAUUGGAAAGAGGAGUGGCGGACGGGUGAGUAACACGUGGGUAACCUACCCAUCAGAGGGGGAUAACACUUGGAAACAGGUGCUAAUACCGCAUAACAGUUUAUGCCGCAUGGCAUAAGAGUGAAAGGCGCUUUCGGGUGUCGCUGAUGGAUGGACCCGCGGUGCAUUAGCUAGUUGGUGAGGUAACGGCUCACCAAGGCCACGAUGCAUAGCCGACCUGAGAGGGUGAUCGGCCACACUGAGACUGAGACACGGCCCAGACUCCUACGGGAGGCAGCAGUAGGGAAUCUUCGGCAAUGACGAAAGUCUGACCGAGCAACGCCGCGUGAGUGAAGAAGGUUUUCGGAUCGUAAAACUCUGUUGUUAGAGAAGAACAAGGACGUUAGUAACUGAACGUCCCCUGACGGUAUCUAACCAGAAAGCCACGGCUAACUACGUG